CUACGGGGUGCACCAGUGAGGAAUAUUGCACAAUGGGGGGAACCCUGAUGCAGCAACGCCGCGUGGAGGAUGACGCAUUUCGGUGUGUAAACUCCUUUUAUAUGUCAAGAAAAUGACGGUAGCAUAUGAAUAAGCACCGGCUAACUCCGUGCCAGCAGCCGCGGUAAUACGGAGGGUGCAAGCGUUACUCGGAAUCACUGGGCGUAAAGGACGCGUAGGCGGGUUGGAAAGUCAGGUGUGAAAUCCUACCGCUUAACUGUAGAACUGCACUUGAAACUUCUAAUCUAGAGUAUGGGAGGGGGAGAUGGAAUUAGUGGUGUAGGGGUAAAAUCCGUAGAUAUCACUAGGAAUACCUAAAGCGAAGGCGAUCUCCUGGAACAUAACUGACGCUAAGGCGUGAAAGCGUGGGGAGCAAACAGGAUUAGAUACCCUCGUAGUC
Molecule: ribosomal RNA, 439 nt
Filed under: uncultured bacterium
Lineage: Bacteria
Description: partial 16S ribosomal RNA
Rfam family: Bacterial small subunit ribosomal RNA
Source: RNAcentral